CUGCAAGUUUAGAGGAAGGCGUUUCUAUUCCUAAUAAGGAAAGAUGGGGAAAAAUCUUUGCCAUAGUGGUACCAGUUUCUCUACUUGCUGU
Molecule: transfer RNA, 91 nt
Filed under: Niallia sp. NCCP-28
Lineage: Bacteria; Bacillati; Bacillota; Bacilli; Caryophanales; Bacillaceae
Description: tRNA-Ile
Source: RNAcentral